UGACCUGGAAGUCCAAGGGAACCGCGGCCACGAAAAGCCGUCCGGGGACGACUUGCCGGCCCGUACCGCAAUCCGACACAGGUGUGCCAGGCGAGAAUCCAAAGGCGUUCGGGAGAACCCUCGUGAAGGAACUCGGCAAAAUGACCCCGUACCCUCGGUACAAGGGGUGCUCCCUCGCAAGGGGGAGCCGCAGAGAAUCGGCUCUAGCGACUGUUUAUCAAAAACACAGGACUCUGCCAACUCGCAAGAGGACGUAUAGAGUCUGACGCCUGCUCGGUGUCGGUAGGUUAAGGGAGGCGAUUAGCGCAAGCGAGGUUGCCGACCGAAGCCCCGAUAAACGGCGGCCGUAACUAUGACGGUCCUAAGGUAGCGAGGUUCCUUGUCGGGUAAGUUCCGACCUGCAUGAAUGGCGUAACGACUGGAGCACUGUCUCCACGAGGGACCCGGUGAAACUGUAGUCGUGGUGAAGAUGCCACGUACCCGCGGUUAGACGGAAAGACCCCGUGAACCUUUACUGCAGGUUGGCACUGGUCCAAUGCUCGUUCUGUGUAGGAUAGGUGGGAGGCUGUGAUCCGGCGGCGCCAGCCGUCGGGGAGCCGAUGGUGAAAUACCACCCUGAAUGAUCGUCGGCCCUCACCGGUACGUAGCCCGUAUCGGGACCGUGCUCAUCGGGCAGUUUGACUGGGGCGGUCUCCUCCCAAAGAGUAACGGAGGAGCGCCAUGGUACCCUCGGCCCGGUCGGCAAUCGGGCAACGGGAGCGCAAACGUAGAAGGGUGCCUGACUGCGAGUCCGAUGGGACGAGCAGGGACGAAAGUCGGCGUUAGUGAUCCGGCGGUGCUGGAUGGAAAGGCCGUCGCUCAACAGAUGAAAGGUACUCCGGGGAUAACAGGCUGAUCUCCCCCGAGCGUCCCUAGCGGCGGGGAGGUUUGGCACCUCGAUGUCGGCUCAUCGCAUCCUGGGGCUGGAGAAGGUCCCAAGGGUUUGGCUGUUCGCCAAUGAAAGCGGUACGCGAGCUGGGUUCAGACCGUCGUGAGACAGGUCGGUCCCUAUCUGCCGUGGGCGUAGGAAACUUGAGGAGAGUCUCCCCUAGUACGAGAGGAUUGGGGAGGACCGACCUCUGGUGUGCCGGCUGUCCCGCUCGGGGCAUCGCCGGGUAGCCAGGUCGGGAGAGGAUAAGCGCUGAAGGCAUCUAAGCGCGAAGCCCCCUCCGAGAUGAGGUUUCCAGCAGGCAACUGCACAGGCUCCUGGAAGACGACCAGGCCGAUAGGCCGGGCGUGCACGGCGGGCGACCGCCUCAGCCGACCGGUCCUAACAGCCGAGCAGCUUAACCAC
RNAcentral lists this ribosomal RNA (1333 nucleotides) under metagenome. RNAcentral's name for it is "bacterial LSU rRNA". It matches the Rfam family "Bacterial large subunit ribosomal RNA", at positions 1581 to 2925 of the family's 2925-position model. The record is from RNAcentral.